This 370-nucleotide unclassified non-coding RNA is filed under the name Hevea brasiliensis (rubber tree). The record is from RNAcentral. Lineage: Eukaryota; Viridiplantae; Streptophyta; Magnoliopsida; Malpighiales; Euphorbiaceae.
UAAUAUGACAAAUUGAAAAUUCCUUUAAAAGUCAGUUAACCAAUGUGUGUAACUUGAGAAUGGGCUUCUGCUUUUGCAGUUUGCCACAGUGAACGUGAUUGGUUCAGUCUGAAAUCUAUGCUUCAGUAAAUAAACUGUUGGCACCUCCAUUGGUUAAGAUCAAGAAGCUUCUGAAUUUAUUAACUGGCAUGUAUCCCUUAACAUUACAACGAUUAAUAUUUCUGAAAGCAAUAAUUUCCAUUCCUGCUGACUUAUCAACUCUAAUGUUGCAUAUCUGAAGAUCACAAAAUGCUAGCUUGCAUAUAAAUACUGGCAUUGUGGCAUAGAGCAACUAAGUAAUUUUAAUCUUUGCAGGGUAUUUCUCUUCCAG